This 253-nucleotide ribosomal RNA is filed under the name uncultured bacterium. RNAcentral describes it as "partial 16S ribosomal RNA". It matches the Rfam family "Bacterial small subunit ribosomal RNA", at positions 524 to 776 of the family's 1533-position model. The record is from RNAcentral.
UACGAAGGGAGCUAGCGUUGUUCGGAAUUACUGGGCGUAAAGGGCGCGUAGGCGGUUUAGCAAGUUGGAUGUGAAAGCCCAGGGCUCAACCCUGGAACUGCAUUCAAGACUGCUUUACUUGAAUUCGGUAGAGGUUAGUGGAAUUCCCAGUGUAGAGGUGAAAUUCGUAGAGAUUGGGAAGAACACCCGUGGCGAAGGCGGCUAACUGGACCGACAUUGACGCUGAGGCGCGAAAGCGUGGGGAUCAAACAGG